GUUCUAUGAAUAUAUAUAUAACUUGCUCUUUUUCAAUGGGACUAGAUUUUUAUCUGCUGGAAGGUGAAGGGGGGACAAAAAAUAGGACGGCACCAAUUGGACAGGAUUAUAUUGUUUUCUCCUGUCAUUUUCAAUCCAUUGAUCCAAAAAAAUGCUGUUAGGUUUCACAAUCAAUUUGUUGCUUUUAAUUUCAAGUAUUUGUUCAAUGGGUUUAUAGUUGCAGAUUCAUACAGGGAAUACUAUGACUUGAAAAUCAAAUUUCUUUUGCUUGUCUUUCCUUCUUCCUAGGUGGGGGUUGCUGAACUUAAAG
Molecule: unclassified non-coding RNA, 310 nt
Filed under: Hevea brasiliensis (rubber tree)
Lineage: Eukaryota; Viridiplantae; Streptophyta; Magnoliopsida; Malpighiales; Euphorbiaceae
Source: RNAcentral